AGCGUAGACGGAGUGGCAAGUCUGAUGUGAAAACCCGGGGCUCAACCCCGGGACUGCAUUGGAAACUGUCAAUCUAGAGUACCGGAGAGGUAAGCGGAAUUCCUAGUGUAGCGGUGAAAUGCGUAGAUAUUAGGAGGAACACCAGUGGCGAAGGCGGCUUACUGGACGGUAACUGACGUUGAGGCUCGAAAGCGUGGGGAGGCAAAACA
This 209-nucleotide ribosomal RNA is filed under the name uncultured bacterium. Its description in RNAcentral is "partial 16S ribosomal RNA". It matches the Rfam family "Bacterial small subunit ribosomal RNA", at positions 568 to 776 of the family's 1533-position model. The record is from RNAcentral.